GUAGGGUGCGAGCGUUAAUCGGAAUUACUGGGCGUAAAGGGUGCGCAGGCGGCCCCGCAAGUCAGACGUGAAAUCCCCGGGCUUAACUUGGGAAUGGCGUUUGAAACUACGGGGCUGGAGUGUGGCAGAGGGAGGUGGAAUUCCACGUGUAGCGGUGAAAUGCGUAGAGAUGUGGAGGAACACCGAUGGCGAAGGCAGCCUCCUGGGCCAACACUGACGCUCAUGCACGAAAGCGUGGGGAGCAAACAGGAUUAGAUACCCUGGUAGUCCACGCCCUAAACGAUGAUGACUAGUUGUUGGAGGAGUUAAAUCCUUUAGUAACGCAGCUAACGCGAGAAGUCAUCCGCCUGGGGAGUACGGUCGCAAGAUUA
RNAcentral lists this ribosomal RNA (371 nucleotides) under uncultured bacterium. Its description in RNAcentral is "bacterial SSU rRNA". It matches the Rfam family "Bacterial small subunit ribosomal RNA", at positions 527 to 896 of the family's 1533-position model. The record is from RNAcentral.